AUCAGCCACAACAUUAAAACCACUGACAGCCUGUUGUAUUAGUAGGGGAGAGCGGGUAUGGUUGCAACAUGGCUUAUUCCUCCAAUCAGGAAUGAGCUAGAGUGAUGAUACUCAUACUGCACAUACUCAGUUAGCCCCUCCUUCUUUCUGGAAGAAAGCAGCCACAUGUGACACACCAUUCCUUCUGCAAAAAAUACUUUUUAAGGUAAAAAAGUAAUUUUCUUUCAUGCUCAGAGUUUUUGUCAUACUUUUUAAACUGUUUGCUUGAAGCAUUAUAAAGUCAUAUAAUUUUAAUCAGUGUUUUCUUAGCUUCUAAAAGGCAUAGCUACCAUGUGUCAAGGCUAUUGCGUCAAGCUAGCAUAGCAAGUUUUAUCAUGGCUGUAGGGACAGUUGCAACAUGCUGUUGCAACUGUCCCCUAUGACAACAUUGAUUUAAAAGCUUGUCAUAACCAGUAUUGUAUAAGUUACUCUAAAAAGUAAUUAAUUACUAACUACUAAUUACAUCUUUCAAUAGCCAGAUAUCUCCCCCUUUUUUUUUCAUUUUACUAGUCUUUGUCUUAAUACAGCCCAUUUAACUGUACACACACACACACACACACACACACACACACACACACACACAGUUCAGUUCAGCUAAGUACACAAAAGUAUUUCAGUGAAUUUCAGUGUCUUGAUUUUGAUUUAAAAAAUAUAUAUAUAUUUUGUAGUUCAAAUUUAUUGUAAUAAUUAACCAAAACAUGGUUGUUACUUGAAAAUAUGUUUUUCCUUUUCUGGUCUUUGUCUUUAGACAGUUAAUUUAACUUAGUGACGACACUGUCUGUGCACAAAUAAAAAUAAAGAAAUUGCAAAAUUAUGUUAAAGAAUUAUUUUUAUUACAUUUUAAUGAAUGUUGCAACUGUCCCUGUGGACUGUUACUACCAUCCCUUCUUAUGGGGUCAGUUGCAACAUUUGACUUUGUCUAUUCAAGUAUAAAUUGUAUAUAUAUUAUCAUAUGUGUUACAGCAGUGUGGGUGGGUAGCUGAGAGAUGUGGGUUUAAUGUAUUAAAAUUUUGGCUUUCCAAUACAAACAGUCUCUGAGAAACUGAAGGAAAUAAAAAAAGUGUUGCAACCAUCCCCACUCUCCCCUAUUUAUUUAUCACCCCUUAUUUAUUUUAGAUACAGUUCCUAUAUAUAGUUAUUUACACAGAGCAAAUAUACUAUUUAUCAAAUCUACUUUUAUUAUGUAUCAUAUUUUAAUGGUGAUAUAAUUUAUUACAGCUGACAGUUACGUGAGCAAACAAGGUUUGAACAUCAACCGUAACAAGAUCAAAUUAAAGUUCAGGGCUUUUUAAUACUUCUGUGUAUAAAUUUGAAGGCUGCUUAUUGGAUCAGUACAGGUAAACGUCAUAAUAUGCAAAUACGCAUUACUUUACGGAAAGCUUACGACUUACUAGCUAAGUCUUGCCUUAAGGACAGGUGGUGCAACCAAAUUAAGCACUGAUUAGUUACAAACUAACUAGUAGUUACUAAGCCCUUAGUGUGAAUUUUACGUCCUAAAUUACAUGAGAACUUACGCACAGCUGGUGCAACCCUACCCAGGUGAACAGUCAGUUCUUGAAUUUCAUGUGUUGGAAGCAGGAAAUAAGGGCAAGCGUAAGGAUCUGAGCAACUUUGAUAAGGGCCAAAUUGUGAUAGCUAGAUGACUGGGUUAGAGCAUCUCCAAAAUGGCAGGUCUUGUGGGGUGUUCCCGGCAUGCAGUGGUUAGUACCCACCAAAAGUGGUCCAAGGAAGGACAACCGGUGAACCGGCGAGAGGGUCAUGGGUGCCCAAGGCUCACUGAUGCGCAUGGGGAGCGAAGGCUAGCCCAUCUGGGCUGAUCCCACAGAAGAGCUUCUGUAGAACAAAUUGCUGAAAAACUUAAUGCUGGCCAUGAUAGAAAGGUGUCAGAACACACAGUGCAUCACAGCUUGCUGCGUAUGGGGCUGCGUAGCCACAGACCGGUCAGAGUGCCCAUGCUGACACCUGUACACCACCAAAAGUGCCUACAACGGGCACGUGAGAGUCAGAACUGGACCAUGGAGCAAUAGAAGAAGGUGGCCUGGUCUGAUGAAUCAUGUUUUCUUUUAGAUCAUGUGGAUGGCCGGGUGUGUGUGUGUCAUUUACCUGGGGAAGAGAUGGCAGCAGGAUGCACUAUGGGAAGAAGGCAGGCCGGUGGAGGCAUUGUGAUGCUCUGGGCUAUGUUCUGCUGGGAAACCUUGGGUCCUGGCAUUCAUGUGGAUGUUAAUUUGACACGUACCACUUACCUAAAGAUUGUUGCAGACCACGUACACCCCUUCAUGGCAACGGUAGUCCCUGAUGGCAGUGACCUCUUUCAGCAGGAUAAUGCGCCCUGCCACACUGCAAAAAUUGUUCCUCGCAACUUACAGGACUUAAAGGAUCUGCUGCUAACGUCUUGUUGACAAAUACCACAGGACACCUUCAGAGGUCUUGUGGAGUCCAUGCCUCGAUGGGUCAGAGCUGUUUUGGCAGCAUGAGGGGGACUUAAAUGAUAUUAAGCAGGUAGUUUUAAAGUUGUGGCUGAUCAGUGCCUGUGUCCAAUUGUUUUUUUUAUUUUUUUAUUGCCUCUGCUCAGUUUUUUAUGCGACCCCUUCAAAAGUAAAACAAUAAAGUAUUAAAUAUACAGUAUAAGUUUCCCAAUUGUUUGACUAGUGGUGCAGUCUGUCAUGGAAAUAAAAUUAUGUGGGACACAAAUAUAUCUAUUUUUUUUUUCUCCCCAGUUUGGCAUGCCCAAUGCGCUAUAAAUCCUUGUAGUGGUGUAGUGACUCGCCUCAAUCUGGGUGGCGGAGGAUGAAUCUCAGUUGCCUCCGCGUCUGGGACCUUCAAUCCGUGCAUUUUAUCACAUGGCUUGUUGAGCGUGUUACCGCGGAGACACAGAGUGUGUGGAGGCUUCACACUAUUCUCCACAGCAUCCAAGCACAACACAACACGUGCCCCACCAAGAGCGAGAACCACAUUAUAGUGACCACGUGGAGGUUACCAAAUGUGACUCUAUACCCUCUCUAGCAACCAGGCCAAUUUGGUUGCUUAGGAGACCUGGCUGGAGUCACUCAGCACACCCUGGAUUUGAACUUGCAACUCCAGGGGUGGUAUGUUGGACACAAAUAUUAAUCAUGAUGAGCAUCAAUCCAAUGGAUAACAGCCAACUGGACAACUUUGUUGCAAUCACUUUUUCAAGUCUGGACACAAAGUUAACCACACAUGAUUCAUUCUAUCAUUCAUAUUCUGUUACUUGGAUGUCUGACCAAGCAGACAACUGUAGAUGCAUUGCGAUAUUUACAGACAGUGAGUGCGUUUACAUGGACACCAGAAAACAGCGUAUUGCGAGAAUGCAGCUUAUUGAGAGAAAGCUGCGUUCCUGUUUACAUGUACUGUAUAAGCGGCAUACUCUUAACCAGUGCUAUAAGUGGGGCAGUAAGCAGUACCUGCACUUCUAUAAUUUACUCUACAGAGUACCGGCAGUUUUUCUUACGUACCACCACUUCUCAGUGUCUCCCGGUACGAUGUCUUUAUUUAAUGUAAGUCAGUGAUUUAAUGCGGCCCGCCAAUCACUUUUAUCUGACCAUCCAAAUGAUUUUGAUAAAAUCGCGGUAAACAUUCGAACACUCUCUGCGCAAAACUCAGCUGUGAGUUUAACAACCUCAACACCUGCAAGAGCAUCAGUUGCCGUCAAGUGAUCCGUGGUCCAGUUCCGGAGGAGCGCACUUGUUUGAGCUUGUCUGGACAUAGUUCAGUUUCACUCUUCUCAAAAACAUGAACCAGCAACUUUUGGGUGAGCACAUUUGACCACAUCUUAUUCACUCAAAUGUAUUAAUGCCAAUUGCUUAGCUGCUGGGUGCAGUCAAAUCUACAGAAUUUAAAAAAACAAAAAAGCUGUUACAGAAGUGAUGUCAGCUCAUAUGCACAACCUUUUUCACAAGAGGCAAAACGAUGAUGAAAACCGAACCUUCAAAGAAAAUACAUAGGAAAAUUAGCUUUUAUUCUCCAUUCUUUUCGGAAGUGCUCGUAAAAAGAUUGUGAAUUGUCAUUGAACUUGCCUAUGCAUAUAUCCUGACAGUGUUUGGUUCUACGUCGUUUUCAACCCUGAACAUCAUCAAAUCAGUUUGUUCAGCGUUUCUAAUGAAUAUUAUCUGCACAAGUAUCUGGCAUCUGUGUGCAAAUGAAUGUGUGCAGGAUAAGGAAGGCACAUUUUACCCUCAUUGAAUGGGAGGAUAAAAAAUAAAUUAAAAAGCAAAAGCAGACAUAAUGAUCUUUUUCAUUUUUAGGCUACAUUUAUUUUGUAUAAAAAGACAGUUCUACAUUAAAUUGCCAUUGUUCUCUUAUAUGUGUUGAUAUUGACAAAGAUAUAGACUUUAGCAAAUCUAAAUAUUCUUUCUCAGUUUUCAUAAACAAUAACCCUACUUUGUAUGUUUUUAUUUUCAAAGUAAAGCUAAUCAAAACCUAUUUGUUAGUUGAGGAUGUAAGGUCAUAUUGGUUCUUCACCCAGAUCUUAUGAAGGAAUGUACGGCCAGACCUUGAAAAUGUUAUUUAAAUACCUCUUUUAACGUAAUUAAAUACUAUUUUAAUGUAAAUAAACAUAUUAUUAACCAUUUUGUUUUACAUGUUAACAUGUUAGUUACAAUAAAAGUGUUAGGUUAGAUAAAUACGGAUAAAAAUGUUUGGCCCCAGUUCAGUUUAUAAAUCCCCAAGAUUAUAUAUUUAUUUUAAAAUAAACAUAUGUUGCAAACAAAAACUGUCUCAGAGUAUAUUUUAUCACCCACCCUAAUGGAGCAGCGUUCUCCAUUACAAUGUAAUAUCCCCGUGAUGCUUGUGUAAAUAACAAACACAGCAUCAGAGAAAGACUUUGCUAUUUUACUCUCUGUUGCUUUGCUUUAUUUACAUAUAUUCCACAACUGUUGCUGUGUCUGUUUCCUUAACCUUCUGUUACGACCUACAGCGGAAUUGCGCUGCAAAAGUGGGGUUCCCUAUCUAUUCAGUUCACUCGGCAUUGCCGUAAGCACUAUGGGGAAGUGUCCUUGCACAACUAUUCAAAACUCCUGUAGAACAGGUGGUUGCAGCUCACCUCUGCCAAAAUACUGCCAUGGGAUGGAAAUCCCGCCCCGCCCACCCUUCAGAGCCAUGUCGACUGACGUCUGCACUGGCUGGAAGAGCUUAUACAGCAGCAGGCCAAGCUGGUUCAGCACUCCACAGGUUAUUCAAGCUUAGCUUCUUCAACAAAUGAAUGAGCAAGGCUCCGAUCCAGAGAGCUCAAAAGAUGUCAAAGAGCUCCGCACCGCUACAGAUUUGGCGCUGUGAGCCAUGAAAGCAUAUAUAUAUAUAUAUAUAUAAAAUGAGAUUGUUGUGGGCUAGAUAAAUACAUUCACUAACAAAAUCAUGCAUUACGCCAUAUUCUGAUGUAAUAUUAUUAAAAAAUGAUCACCAGAACACAGCCAUCCACAGGUAGCGUGUAUGCUGAUCGCGCCAAUCUGCAUAGCCCAUAACUAUAUUAUUUAAUAUAAAAACGAGAUCGUAGUGGCAUGUUUUUGUGUGAUGAAAUUAACAAUUGCAUAUUGGUAAGCCCGCUGCUUUCAACGAGAAACCUUUAGCAUCAAAUUACUGCAGUCAUCUAUAUUUUAUGAUCAUAAUGUUUCUUUGUCUAAAACAUAUCUAUCUUUUUUUUUCUAAAGAAAUACUUAUCCUAUUAUAUAUUGAUUAUGCAUUUAAUUAUAUGAAUUUAAACUGCUGAUCCUGUAUCUGGAGGAAAAAGUAGGAGAGGUUACAUUUUUAUAUUGCUAAUUUUGUAAGUGUAUGAGUCCUAUGCCACCACGGUCUCAGAUUUUGGAGAAUAUUUGAAAUAAUGUAGUUAUGGGCUAUGCAGAUAGGCACAGUCAGCACAUACCGCACCUGUGUAUCGCUGUGUUCAGAGAACCAUAUUGAAAUAAUGACAUAUCAGAAUAUGAUGAAAUUGCUAUUUUCAUUAGUGUAUGAGUCCUAUGCCACCACAAUCUCAGAUUUUGGAGAAUAUUUGAAAUAAUGUAGUUAUGGGCUGUGCAGAUAGGCACAGUCAGCACAUACCGCACCUGUGUAUCGCUGUGUUCAGAGAACCAUAUUGAAAUAAUGACAUCAGAAUAUGAUCAAAUUACUAAUUUCCUUAGUUUAUGAGUCCCACUAUGCCACCACGAUCUCAGAUUUUGGUGAAUAUUCUAAAAAAAAAAAAAAACGAGAUCGUUGUGGCAUGUUUUUGUGUGAUUAAAUUAUCAAUUGCAUAUUGGUAAGCCCACUGCUUUCAACGAAAAACCUUUAGCUUCAAAUUACUGCAGUCAUCUAUAUUUUAUGAUCAUAAUGUUUCUUUGUCUAAAACAUAUCUAUGUUUUUUUUUCUAAAGAAAUACUUAUCCUAUUAUAUAUUGAUUAUGCAUUUAAUUCUAAGAAUUUAAUCAGCUGAUCCUGUAUCUGGAGGAACAAGUAGGAGAGGUUACAUUUUUAUAUUGGGUUUUUACAUAACCCCAGCACUAUCCCUAACCACUUCUCACUAAACACAUUAAAUGUGUACUGGAUAAAGACGAUGCACAUAAUGUUUCCUUUGUCAUUGAAGUGCUAACACCAGAGGUAAGGUCAUUUUACAACACAUAUUCAAUUAAUUGGUAUUGUAUGUUUCGAUUAUUAUAUUUACAGUAAAUACUGCAAAUUUAUUCUGUGUAAAAUAUAUUUAUUGUUUUAAAGCUUACUGUUGUUACCUUGAAGGAUUUAACCGAUAUCAAGCAGAAAGUUGUUUUGGCACUGGAUUAUCAAAAUAUGUGUAGAUCCAUUGUCUGGACCUCUCUCCCGCCAAAAGACAUAUCUUCUCAAAAUAUCAGAUAACUUCUGAAGACUUGGAGGG
This is a long non-coding RNA of Myxocyprinus asiaticus (Chinese sucker), 6894 nucleotides long. RefSeq lists it as uncharacterized. The record is from RefSeq and is a predicted model, not a curated record. NCBI's taxonomy places the organism in Eukaryota, Metazoa, Chordata, Actinopteri, Cypriniformes, Catostomidae. The transcript is spliced from 3 exons.